ACUCCUACGGGAGGCAGCAGUGGGGAAUUUUGGACAAUGGGCGAAAGCCUGAUCCAGCCAUGCCGCGUGAGUGAAGAAGGCCUUCGGGUUGUAAAGCUCUUUUAGUCGGAAAGAAAGAGUCGCAAUGAAUAAUUGUGAUUUAUGACGGUACCGACAGAAAAAGCACCGGCUAACUACGUGCCAGCAGCCGCGGUAAUACGUAGGGUGCGAGCGUUAAUCGGAAUUACUGGGCGUAAAGGGUGCGCAGGCGGUUUUGCAAGUCAGAUGUGAAAGCCCCGGGCUUAACCUGGGAAUUGCGUUUGAAACUACAAGGCUAGAGUGCAGCAGAGGGGAGUGGAAUUCCAUGUGUAGCAGUGAAAUGCGUAGAGAUGUGGAAGAACACCGAUGGCGAAGGCAGCUCCCUGGGUUGACACUGACGCUCAUGCACGAAAGCGUGGGGAGCAAACAGGAUUAGAUACCCUGGUAGUCCACGCCCUAAACGAUGUCAACUGGUUGUCGGAUCUAAUUAAGGAUUUGGUAACGUAGCUAACGCGUGAAGUUGACCGCCUGGGGAGUACGGUCGCUAGAUUAAAACUCAAAGGAAUUGACGGGGACCCGCACAAGCGGUGGAUUAUGUGGAUUAAUUCGAUGCAACGCGAAAAACCUUACCUACCCUUGACAUGCUUGGAAUCUAAUGGAGACAUAAGAGUGCCCGAAAGGGAGCCAAGACACAGGUGCUGCAUGGCUGUCGUCAGCUCGUGUCGUGAGAUGUUGGGUUAAGUCCCGCAACGAGCGCAACCCUUGUCACUAAUUGCUAUCAUUUUUAAUGAGCACUUUAGUGAGACUGCCGGUGACAAACCGGAGGAAGGUGGGGAUGACGUCAAGUCCUCAUGGCCCUUAUGGGUAGGGCUUCACACGUAAUACAAUGGCGUGUACAGAGGGUUGCCAACCCGCGAGGGGGAGCCAAUCUCAGAAAGCACGUCGUAGUCCGGAUCGGAGUCUGCAACUCGACUCCGUGAAGUCGGAAUCGCUAGUAAUCGCGGAUCAGCAUGUCGCGGUGAAUACGUUCCCGGGUCUUGUACACACCGCCCGUCACACCAUGGGAGUGGUUUUCACCAGAAGCAGGUAGCUUAACCGCAAGGAGGGCGCUUGCCACGGUGGGGGUCAUGACUGGGGUGAAGUCGUAACAAGGUAACC
This 1176-nucleotide ribosomal RNA is filed under the name uncultured Nitrosomonas sp. RNAcentral's name for it is "bacterial SSU rRNA". It matches the Rfam family "Bacterial small subunit ribosomal RNA", at positions 335 to 1501 of the family's 1533-position model. The record is from RNAcentral. Lineage: Bacteria; Pseudomonadati; Pseudomonadota; Betaproteobacteria; Nitrosomonadales; Nitrosomonadaceae.